CAGGGCGAUAGUUUAAUUAGAAUAUUAGUUUUGGAGACUAAAGAUGGGAAGGGCAUUCUCUCCUCUGA
RNAcentral lists this transfer RNA (68 nucleotides) under Lebbeus groenlandicus. Its description in RNAcentral is "tRNA-Pro". The record is from RNAcentral. Lineage: Eukaryota; Metazoa; Arthropoda; Malacostraca; Decapoda; Hippolytidae.